GGAGGAGAGAGGGGAGGGAGGCAGGGAAAGAGGAAGAGAGCCGAGCGCCUCUGGCUGCGCUCUCUUGCUAUUAGAAGGGAGUGACUGAAGAGGCUGGCGAGUGAAGGCACACAGAGAGGAUGAUUUAGAUGCCUCUGCUUCUGCCCACAAGACCCACAACAAGGGAGAGGCUCUAGGCUGCAGCCACUCGGUGGGGUAAUGGCUGGGGCUGGAGAGUCGCUUCAAAAGCCCUGAAAGCCUCCUGCGCAGCCUUAAGGGACAUCCCAGAAGUUAGCAUCAGUGGGACUUGGAAGCUCCGAUCUCAACAAAAUCUCAGUAUUGCUGCUUCUUCAGUGACAGAGCAACCACAGGAGUAGUCCACAGCCCUUCUAUUCAGAAAAAGAAUCAGGAUGAGGACAUUGGGAGUAACAUGGAUCCAUGGCAUGGGUUGAGGCCAGGAGAGUCAAGAUUGUAAUUCAGAAUCAAGAUGACUGGAUUCUGACAGACACAAAGUAGGAGAAUUGGACUCAGGCCAAGAUGAGUUCAAAGCCAGGCUCUGCUGCUUCAGAGCCAUGUGGCCUUGGGCAAGUUCCUUCUCUGCUCUGAAUCUCAGUCUCCUUAUCUGUAUGAUGGACACAUCAUACUAAUAACAUCGUUGUGAUGAUCAGGUAACAUAGUAAUCCCACCUGUGCUGAGGGACUGGAUUCAAGAGCUCCCCUCUGAAGGCAGGGACAGCCCAGGAUGCAGGCCAGAGGGAUGCUCUGAGCAGGGGAGGAUGUGAGUCUGUGUCAGCUCCCCAGGGACAAGAAAGCCUGAACAAGGCUGAUGCAGUGGGUCCUCAUCCCCCUGAGAAGUCCCUUUUGCAGAGGCCUUAGCAGUUCUACAAUUGGAGAACACUGUGCAGAGACAGCUCUGUGGUGAUGAAGUGUUCUAUCUAACACCACCUAUUCUGAGAUCCACAUUGUCCCUGGCUCCACAUUCCACUGACGGCCCCUUGACCUGCUCCUGGCACAUGUCUCCCUCACAGACACAGGAGACUUAUCCACUUUAGCAGUGGGAGAGCUUAGAAGAAACUCCUUCUUGGGCCUUCAGCUAAAAGGACAAUGCAUUCCUGAAGCCCUUCUGAGCCCAUUGGGAGCAAGGAACAUCCUGGGCAUAAAUAUCAGCAUCUGGGAUCUAACUCCACUCAUGUGACAGACCUGCGCAGUCCUGUUGUGCCACAAUUCCCAAACCACUGAUUAUCAGCAUCAGUUCCAUCUGAGCCAGAAACCAGCUCUGGGCUAAUGGGACACAAUAAGGAGUGGGGACUGUGGUGGACUGAAGUCAUCUGCUCCACCCUCCUGUCCUUAGAGCUCUCCUCUGAGAGUAUUUAUAGCAUUGUCAGAAAUCUCUUCUCAUCGAAAGCCAUUUCUUCUUUUAGUGACAUAGAGGACUACCACCAUAACCUAACAUGCUGUUCUCUGUUUUGCAAGUGGUGCCAGUUAGGAAGGAGAAGGCAGCCUGGCAGGAGAUGCACUUUAAGAACAGGGACUGUCCUAGCAGCCGUCUGCAUGAUGGAAGGGGCUAAAGAAGUGGACAGCAGACAGGUCUAGUUAGGACCAUGGGAAUCAGACUGGUGGGAAUGGAGGAGGCAAACUCCUUGACCUCCUCUUUGCUAUGGCAUGCAUCCCAGAGUGAACUCUCCUCUCCCCCCACCCCCACCCUCAGCCUCCUGCCUUUCUUUGUCCUGGAGAUUGACAGGCAGCAUUUAUGGCAGACCCAAUAGUCCAAAGAGGAAAGCUUUGAAGAGAAUUUAUUGGCACUAUCACAGCUCUUAGCACCAUGCUGAGCAUAACUCAAAGUACAAUCCAAGGUGUCCCUAGGAAGAAAAGGUCUCUCUCUGACUCAGUAGCCCAGAAACAUAAAUUGGCAGCUGUGAAUCUAAUUCACAGUUGCCUUUUCUUUGGCUUGCAUAAUAUUUCUAAAGUUGUCGAAUUUGUUAUUUUUGGGGAGGGGGUAAUUUCAUGUUCAAAUGUUUUAAUUUCUAGAUUUUUUUGUAAAAAGAAAGUGAAGGAUCUUGCAGUAUCAACUCCACAUUCUGGCACGGCAAUAAUUAGCUAGAGCCAAGGAGAGAUUGCCCUCUUUUUUACUGCAUGUGUGCUCAGUUCACCACAGUCCCCCACUCCUUAUUACAACCCAUUAGCCCAGAGCUAGUUUUGGGUGCAUUAACCAUGUAUUUGUAUCAUUACUUUCCUAGACUAAAGAGAAUUAAUAUUUUAAAUCUUUAUCAAAAAUGUGAUAAUGAGAUGUAAGAAAUUGCAUCUGAAUAAAAAUAGAAAAAAGCCUAUUAUCUGUAUAUGACCAAUAAUCAAAUAUAAUGUGUCCAUAUUGAAAGAUCCCAUCCAGCAGCCACAUUCACUGACUUCUAUAGGAGGCAGAGUUCUGCACCAACCCAAAGGUUCUGGUUACUAUGGAAUGUCCAACCCCAUGAGCUGAGAAAUUCAGGAAAAAUUGCAUAUUUUCCCUUGCUCCUGGCAGAAGCAGACCCAUCUUGGAUGAGGGAAAAUCCAGACCUUAAGAGUAAAAUUGGUGGCUGCUAGCUAGUGGUCUUUUCCUUGUAGGGAGUUCACUGUCUGAGCAGACAUUUCCAAGAGAGAAGGGGAUGCUCCUAGUCAUUCUACCAGAACAGCCAAUGCUACCUGGGCCAUGUGGAUACCCGUGUCCUUGGAGCAAUUACGGAUAUUUGGGGGCAAGAUUGUUGUAGUUUGAAAAGCCCAGGAGCACUGUCAGAUGAGCAGGGAGCACUCUAGAGGAGAGCCAGAGGGUGGAGAACAGAGACCCACCAGAGAGGCACAGCCAUGCCACUGGCAGCCUCUGCAUAGCAGGUAUGCACAGACAAAAUACAUUGCUUUCCUGGCACAGUUCAGACAUCUAUUGAUCUGGCUACAUCCUGGGCCUGACCCUCAUGGAGGCCUAGAGCAACCUGGUGAAACCCAAGAGCUGCAGAAAAGCAACCAGUCCUGAGAAACUUGUCCUACCCCUCCAUAGUUCUGUGCCUGUAAGCAUACCACCAAUCGCUGUGCUUUUGUGAACUGUACAAUGAGGCUACAAUUUUGACAGAUGUAUUCAAGUAUUAAAUGAUACAAUGCAUUAAAAAAAAAAAACUAGUACAGAGAUGGUACAUAAUGGACAUUCAAAACCUAAGCUAUUUUUCCUAUUUGGCCCCCUGUUCUCAUACCAGAAAGUUUUCCUACCUCACCCACUUUCCUGGCACCCUCUGUACCACAGCUUUCCUGAACCUUCCUUACCCAUCCCUGCCAAACCAAAUUAAAAACUGCACCUCAGUUUCUCUAUCACUGUCUAUGGGCUGAUCUGUUGGCCUGUUUGCUCACCACCAACCUAUAAGCUCCUUCAGGGCAGAGAAUAUAACUGUGAUCCUCAAUGUCUUUGCCUGUUAGAGUCACCGGUGGCCAGGGCUGAUUGCAAGUGCACCUAGGGUGCGGCCUUGCUGCUCAAUGCAGACUAAGAACCAGCAGUGUCAACAUCACUGGGAGCUCCUUAGAUAAAAUGCAAAUUUGGGGAACCCAGAUCUAAUGAUUCAAAGCCUGCAUUUCAAUAAGAUCCUCUAGUGGAUGGAAAGCACAGGAAAGCCCUUGAAGUGAGGUUCUACCCACUUCUACCCUGAGGGCCCAUCAUAAUGCUAGUAUUCAGUGGGGGUUGCUGACUGGGUGGAUAGGAAGAAGCCUUUUGUCAGUUUCUCCUGAAAUUUCUCCUGAGCAUUCACACCUACUACCUCUUGUGCUAUGACCCAGAUUAAUUUAGGUUCAAUACCCAGGAAUUCAAGAAUGGAUCUUCUGCACCUAAGCUGAUAGAAUCAAUAACUGCACAAUGUUGAAGUUUUUAAACAAAACACCUGAUUUUUUUUAAAGAUUUAUUACUCCUGGGCUCUGUGCCAUUAAAUCUCAGAGUGCACCAAAAAGAAUUUUGUUUUGUUUUAAGGCUGGUAAUUUUGAAAAGCCAGGAAACCAGUACUGGCCUCUUGGGAGGAGUCAACCCUUUAGUGUGGUUAGGACACAGGUUCAGAGAGGCUGGAUUGGGCUAACCCUUUUUUGAGGAUGAGGGACCCGAAUCUGGGAUCUGGGCCUUGUCUGCUCUCUCCCUGGCUAGGGUUCCUGGGCCAGCAGGCUAGUUCCUGGGGGACAGUGCCUCUGUCUCCUCUCUCAGUGGGCUCCUUCUGGCCUCUCUCAGCUGCUAUUUCUGCAUCUGUUUGGAGGAGGCUGAGGGCCCCUGUGGCUUGUCUCCCAUGUGGCCUCUGAACUACUGUGACUGCCAGGGUACUCAAGAGCAUAACAAAGGCAAUAAUUCAGUUUCUAACCCCAGUAAGGGCAUUUGUUGUCUGGGGCCUGCUGCUGGGGGGUUCCCUGAAAGCCUCCUGUGUCACAUUCCCUGAGGCCGGGCUGGUGGAAGCUCAGGGGUCCCGGGUCGCAGUCUGGGUCAGACCAGGUCUCGCUGUGGGGGCGACGCUGAGGGCUCCCCCAUCUGCGCUCAGCUCAGGGCUUCCCCGCCACGCCUGGGGCUUCCGAGUCCCCAAGCUCGCG
Molecule: RNA transcript, 4556 nt
Organism: Marmota monax (woodchuck)
Lineage: Eukaryota; Metazoa; Chordata; Mammalia; Rodentia; Sciuridae
Gene: Kcnj5
Gene name: potassium inwardly rectifying channel subfamily J member 5
Exons: 4
Source: RefSeq, a predicted model, not a curated record